This 550-nucleotide ribosomal RNA is filed under the name uncultured bacterium. RNAcentral describes it as "bacterial SSU rRNA". It matches the Rfam family "Bacterial small subunit ribosomal RNA", at positions 355 to 896 of the family's 1533-position model. The record is from RNAcentral.
UAGGGAAUCUUCGGCAAUGGGGGGAACCCUGACCGAGCAACGCCGCGUGAGUGAAGAAGGUUUUCGGAUCGUAAAGCUCUGUUGUUAAGGAAGAACGAGUGUGAGAAUGGAAAGUUCAUACUGUGACGGUACUUAGCCAGAAAGGGACGGCUAACUACGUGCCAGCAGCCGCGGUAAUACGUAGGUCCCGAGCGUUGUCCGGAUUUAUUGGGCGUAAAGCGAGCGCAGGUGGUUAGAUAAGUCUGAAGUUAAAGGCAGUGGCUCAACCAUUGUAGGCUUUGGAAACUGUUUAACUUGAGUGCAGAAGGGGAGAGUGGAAUUCCAUGUGUAGCGGUGAAAUGCGUAGAUAUAUGGAGGAACACCGGUGGCGAAAGCGGCUCUCUGGUCUGUAACUGACGCUGAGGCUCGAAAGCGUGGGGAGCGAACAGGAUUAGAUACCCUGGUAGUCCACGCCGUAAACGAUGAGUGCUAGGUGUUAGGUCCUUUCCGGGACUUAGUGCCGCAGCUAACGCAUUAAGCACUCCGCCUGGGGAGUACGACCGCAAGGUUG